AGAUUGAACGCUGGCGGCAUGCCUUACACAUGCAAGUCGAACGGUAGAGGGAGCAAUCCUUCGAGAGUGGCGAACGGGUGAGUAAUAUAUCGGAACGUGCCCAGUCGUGGGGGAUAACGUAGAGAAAUUUACGCUAAUACCGCAUACGAUCUAAGGAUGAAAGCGGGGGACCUCGCAAGGGGCCUCGCGCGAUUGGAGCGGCUGAUAUCAGAUUAGGUUGUUGGUGAGGUAAAAGCUCACCAAGCCGACGAUCUGUAGCUGGUUUGAGAGAACGACCAGCCACACUGGGACUGAGACACGGCCCAGACUCCUACGGGAGCAGCAGUGGGAAUUUGGACAAUGGGCGAAAGCCUGAUCCAGCAAUGCCGCGUGCAGGAAGAAGGCCUCGGUGUAACUGCUUUGUACGGAACGAAAGGA
This 417-nucleotide ribosomal RNA is filed under the name uncultured soil bacterium. RNAcentral describes it as "bacterial SSU rRNA". It matches the Rfam family "Bacterial small subunit ribosomal RNA", at positions 26 to 453 of the family's 1533-position model. The record is from RNAcentral.